Long non-coding RNA from Vigna unguiculata (cowpea), 3510 nucleotides. The record is from RefSeq and is a predicted model, not a curated record. NCBI's taxonomy places the organism in Eukaryota, Viridiplantae, Streptophyta, Magnoliopsida, Fabales, Fabaceae.
AACAGAGGUCGAGAUUAUGCUUCGUGCUCUUUAUGAUGACUGCAUGAAACAUCAUAUUGGGGUGUUAAUUGAAAAAUCUCUCAUAAAGGUCAGUCAGAGAGGAACAGUUGAAUUGCACGACUUGAUUAAGGACAUGGGUAGAGAAAUUGACCAGAAAGAAUCACCUAAAGAAGCAGGAAGGCGCAGGAGAUUAUGGUUACCAAAAGAUAUAAUUCAUGUUCUAAAACACAACACGGGAACUAGUGAAAUUUGAAAUGGUGUGUCUUCAUUUCUCCACAACUGACAAAAGAGAAAGGGUGGAAUGGAAUGGAAGCUAACCGUCUUGAAUUUGGACAACUGCAAACCUUUAACUCGGAUACCUAACGUAUCUGAACUCCGAAACUUGGAGAAACUUUCAUUUAAAGAGUGUGAGAGUUUAAUUGAAGUGCACUACUCAGUUGGUUUUCUGAAGGAUGCGAGAAGCUUGCCAGAUUUCCACCUCUCAAGCUGCCCUCUCUUGAAAUUCUUGAACUUUCUUUUUGUUUCAGUCUUAAGAAUUUUCCAGAAAUGUUAGGAAAGAUGGGACGCAUAAGGAAACUUAGUUUGCUUAAACUUCCUAUAAAAGAAUUGCCAGUUUCAUUUCAAAAUCUUACUGGACUCCAUGAGUUACACGUGGACUGUGAUUUUGUUCAGUUAAAUAGCAGUGUCUUGACGCCUGAACUGUCUGAGCUUAUCGUUUACAAUUGCAAGGAGUGGAAAUGUGUAAAAUCUAGAGAGGGUAAAGAAAAAAUGGGCUCAAAGGUGUCUUCAAAUGUAGAAUAGUUUUGGGCUUAUUCUUACAACCUGAAUGAUGAUUUUUUUUUCAGAAGGUUUCACGCAGUUGGCUCAAGUGAGACAAUUAUGGCUAGAGAAAAGUAGUUUCACAUUCCUUCUUGAAUGCCUGGGAGAAUUUCACAACAUGUAUUCUCUUGACGUGAGUGAUUGCAAACUUCUUAGGGAAAUCAGAGGGGUUCCACCAAAUUUAAAGCAUUUCAGGGCAAUUAACUGUGUAUCGUUGGGUUCCUCGGGUUCAAGCAUGCUGUCAAAUCAGCAACUUCACGAGGCUGGAGGGACAGUGUAUAUCUUUCCAGGAGGAAGUAUUCCAGAGUGGUUGGAUAAACAAAGCAAGGGACCUUCAAUGUUUGUUUGAUACCUCCGUCAUUAAAGCAACGGGAAUUCAUGUAGUAAAAGACGAAAGCAGGAGCGUGGAGGACAUUCGAUAUGAUGAUCCUUGUACCAACAAUAAAGAAGACAGUCAUCUCAACACUUUCCAAUCACAAAACUACUCCUUAACGAGCAUAGGUUUAAUGAUAGGUUCUUUCAUAUUGUUUUCUUGCUUCUUCCUUUUUGUUGUAUUUACAAGCCUGGGGAGUUAGUAUCACCCAUCAAUUUUCCUUUGCAUUGUCGUCAAAGAAUCGGAUUUGUUUCUCCAAACAUCUUAUUCAUCAAGGAACUUUUGGAUGUUGGAUCUGAUGAUGUUGUCCACAUGAUAGGGAUCCAUGGAAUGGGUGGGUUAGGAAAAACAACACUUUCUCUAGCAGUGUAUAAUUUGAUCGCUGAUGAUUUUGAUAGUUCAUGUUUUCUUCAAGAUGUAAGAGAAAAAUCAAAUAAACAUGGGUUAAAACAACUCCAGAACAGCCUUCUUUAACAAAUACUCGGAGAGAAGGACAUCAACUUAGUAAGUGUGCAAAGAGGAAUCUCAGUGAUACAACAAAGGCUUCGUAGAAAGAAAGUUCUCAUGAUUCUAGAUGGGUAACGCAUAUGUGAAAAAUAUAUAUUUUUGUCUUGUUCUUAAUGAACUUGAUUUGAUAAUAUAUUGUUGAUUUACUGAAUUGUUGAUGAAUUGUGACUAGCAGCAACUUCACGAGACUGGAGAGACCGAUUUUAUCUUUCCAGGAGGAAGUAUCCCAAGCUGGUUUGAUAAACAAAGUCGGGGACCUUCAAUUUCUUUCUGGUUUCGUAAUAAAUUUCCCGCCAAAGUUCUUUGUCUUCUUAUUGCACCUGUAAUGUGCUCUUCCAUGUUUGUUGGACCCAUGGUGUUCAUAUGGAAAAGUUACAAAAUGUCUUUCUAAUCCUAUGAAAACAAAAGUGGAGAUGUUGGAAUCGGAUUACACACAUCUCUUUGAUCUGCGGAGGUUUCUUUCCCAUGGUGCUCUGAUGGAAGUGGGUUUAGAAAAUGAAUGGAAGCAUCUGGAGGUUACCUUGAGGGUGUGUUUGAGACCUCAGUGAUUAAAGCCAUGGGAGUCCAUGUAGUGAAAGAUAAAAACAUCAACAUGGAUGAUAUUCUAUAUGAUGAUCCUUACACCAACAUAAAAGUAGAGAAUCAAGAAUGAUAGAAAGUUCAUCUAAACAAAAAGAAGAAACAUGGUUUGUAGAGAACACAUUAAUGGCAAUCUUGGAUUUUUCUUCACAAGUGCUGGUGUAUUAUCUCUCCACUCUUAAGGCCCUCAACAAUAAUGCUUUCUGAUGCCAAUUGUUAGUAACUUAUUUUAGUAACAUAUUACAAAGCUUAGCAAGAGUGGAAGACUUUUACUUUUUAACAUGCAGUGUACCAUGUUUAGGAGAGUUUUGUUUCUCCUUUCAGCAGUACCAUUAUGUUAUGGCAUGUAUAAGGGUGUUACCUCAUGUAUUAAUAUCCCUUUAUCUGCACAGAGACUUUGAAAAUCUAUACUGAUGUGUAUUCUCCUUCUCCAUCAGUUCUCAACACUUGAACAUUGUGUCCACUUUGUUUCUUAGCAAGCCGUUUAAACCUUUUAAGCACAUCCAAAGAGUCACACUUUCUUUUUAGCAUAUAAGUCCUCAUUUUCCUAGUCACAUCAUCAAUGAAUGUGAUGAAAUAUCUAUUUCCAGCAGCGGUAUCAACCUAUAUUAGCCCAUAAAUUUUGUGACACAUGUUACACUAUAAUCCUUUCGCCUUUCCAAGCCUCAACGUACCCAACCGGAAUUUGUUCUCUUUAAAUCUAAAUCAUAAAGUAUUUCCCUAUACAGAUGAAAGAAAGGGAUAACCAGAACCUCACACUUCAAUCCUCCAUCUCUUUCAAAAUAACAAUUGAAUAAGUAAAUACCAAUUAGGCUCUUAUAAAUACACUUAAACUCCAUAAGAACCUGUUAAACAGACGAAUUUGGACUUUUUUACUGAAUUUCAGGUACUGCAGAAAACAAAGGAAAUAACAUAAAGAAGAAUAGGUAAUCCGGCACAGAAUAACAGAAGCACACAACACUCCUUUAUGCUCUAGCUAACUCUCCCCUGAUUGAAAAAAUUAAGGCCUUCGAUGAUAUAUUUCUAAAAAGCCCUAUCCCACUUAGAAGGUAGAUUCCUAUCAAUACCACAUAACUUCCGAGUUACUUAUCCUCAUUGUUCUAGUUGUACCACUCUUUGCUGGAUCACAUAUAAGAUCCUUUAUGUUAAACUUUCAAAACUAGGUUCAAUUAACCAAAUCUGCUAUUCAUGUUGAUAGAACAAAAUAUUAAGAAAUAUCACAUGCUUUUUCA